RNAcentral lists this long non-coding RNA (323 nucleotides) under Androctonus crassicauda. Lineage: Eukaryota; Metazoa; Arthropoda; Arachnida; Scorpiones; Buthidae. The record is from RNAcentral.
GAUCAGUGUUGCAGAGUAGCUAUAUAUAAAAGUUGGUGACUUGGGAUGGAUGGGGGGUGGAUUGCUUGUACUAUAUCAUGUUGGAGGUGUUUAUGCUGGGGGUGUGUUCGAUAUACAUCGGGUGUGUGGCGCUUACAGUUGUAUGAGGGCCUACCUGUGGUGGGUCGUAUCCUGUUGUUUGCACGCCACUUCCAUGCUGGUGGUGGCAAAGGGAUCGUUGUUGUUGAUAGUUUGCCAUGUGUUUUUUCUCUUUUGUAUCUCAGUACCCUCUAGUAUAGUUAACCCACCCGCCAUGGUUCCCCAAACUAUUCCAAAUAUGUGUG